Molecule: ribosomal RNA, 498 nt
Filed under: uncultured bacterium
Lineage: Bacteria
Description: bacterial SSU rRNA
Rfam family: Bacterial small subunit ribosomal RNA
Source: RNAcentral
UAGUCCACGCUGUAAACGAUGUCUACUAGCCGUUGGUUUCCUUGAGGAAGCAGUGGCGCAGCUAACGCGAUAAGUAGACCGCCUGGGGAGUACGGCCGCAAGGUUAAAACUCAAAUGAAUUGACGGGGGCCCGCACAAGCGGUGGAGCAUGUGGUUUAAUUCGAUGCAACGCGAAGAACCUUACCAGGUCUUGACAUCCUGAAAACUUUCUAGAGAUAGAUUGGUGUCUUCGGGAAUUCAGUGACAGGUGCUGCAUGGCUGUCGUCAGCUCGUGUCGUGAGAUGUUGGGUUAAGUCCCGUAACGAGCGCAACCCUUGUCCUUAGUUGCUAGCAGGUAAUGCUGAGAACUCUAAGGAGACUGCCGGUGACAAACCGGAGGAAGUGGGGACGACGUCAAGUCAUCAUGGCCCUUACGACCUGGGCUACACACGUGCUACAAUGGGCAGUACAAAGCGAUGCCAACUCGUGAGAGCGCGCAAACCGCAUAAAGUAGUGCCC